RNAcentral lists this ribosomal RNA (1329 nucleotides) under metagenome. RNAcentral describes it as "bacterial SSU rRNA". It matches the Rfam family "Bacterial small subunit ribosomal RNA", at positions 8 to 1320 of the family's 1533-position model. The record is from RNAcentral.
AGAGUUUGAUCCUGGCUCAGGACGAACGCUGGCGGCGUGCCUAAUACAUGCAAGUCGAGCGGACAGAUGGGAGCUUGCUCCCUGAUGUUAGCGGCGGACGGGUGAGUAACACGUGGGUAACCUGCCUGUAAGACUGGGAUAACUCCGGGAAACCGGGGCUAAUACCGGAUGGUUGUUUGAACCGCAUGGUUCAAACAUAAAAGGUGGCUUCGGCUACCACUUACAGAUGGACCCGCGGCGCAUUAGCUAGUUGGUGAGGUAACGGCUCACCAAGGCGACGAUGCGUAGCCGACCUGAGAGGGUGAUCGGCCACACUGGGACUGAGACACGGCCCAGACUCCUACGGGAGGCAGCAGUAGGGAAUCUUCCGCAAUGGACGAAAGUCUGACGGAGCAACGCCGCGUGAGUGAUGAAGGUUUUCGGAUCGUAAAGCUCUGUUGUUAGGGAAGAACAAGUGCCGUUCGAAUAGGGCGGUACCUUGACGGUACCUAACCAGAAAGCCACGGCUAACUACGUGCCAGCAGCCGCGGUAAUACGUAGGUGGCAAGCGUUGUCCGGAAUUAUUGGGCGUAAAGGGCUCGCAGGCGGUUUCUUAAGUCUGAUGUGAAAGCCCCCGGCUCAACCGGGGAGGGUCAUUGGAAACUGGGGAACUUGAGUGCAGAAGAGGAGAGUGGAAUUCCACGUGUAGCGGUGAAAUGCGUAGAGAUGUGGAGGAACACCAGUGGCGAAGGCGACUCUCUGGUCUGUAACUGACGCUGAGGAGCGAAAGCGUGGGGAGCGAACAGGAUUAGAUACCCUGGUAGUCCACGCCGUAAACGAUGAGUGCUAAGUGUUAGGGGGUUUCCGCCCCUUAGUGCUGCAGCUAACGCAUUAAGCACUCCGCCUGGGGAGUACGGUCGCAAGACUGAAACUCAAAGGAAUUGACGGGGGCCCGCACAAGCGGUGGAGCAUGUGGUUUAAUUCGAAGCAACGCGAAGAACCUUACCAGGUCUUGACAUCCUCUGACAAUCCUAGAGAUAGGACGUCCCCUUCGGGGGCAGAGUGACAGGUGGUGCAUGGUUGUCGUCAGCUCGUGUCGUGAGAUGUUGGGUUAAGUCCCGCAACGAGCGCAACCCUUGAUCUUAGUUGCCAGCAUUCAGUUGGGCACUCUAAGGUGACUGCCGGUGACAAACCGGAGGAAGGUGGGGAUGACGUCAAAUCAUCAUGCCCCUUAUGACCUGGGCUACACACGUGCUACAAUGGACAGAACAAAGGGCAGCGAAACCGCGAGGUUAAGCCAAUCCCACAAAUCUGUUCUCAGUUCGGAUCGCAGUCUGCAACUCGACUGCG